AAUAGAUACCCUGGUAGUCCACGCCGUAAACGAUGAGUGCUAGGUGUUGGGGGGUACCACCCUCAGUGCCGAAGGAAACCCAAUAAGCACUCCGCCUGGGGAGUACGGUCGCAAGACUGAAACUCAAAGGAAUUGACGGGGGCCCGUACAAGCGGUGGAGCAUGUGGUUUAAUUCGAAGCAACGCGAAGAACCUUACCAAGGCUUGACAUCCCAUUGACCGGUGUAGAGAUAUGCCUUUCCUUCGGGACAAUGGUGACAGGUGGUGCAUGGUUGUCGUCAGCUCGUGUCGUGAGAUGUUGGGUUCAGUCCCGCAACGAGCGCAACCCUUAUCCUUAGUUGCCAGCAGGUAAAGCUGGGCACUCUAAAGAGACAGCCGGUGAAAGCCGGAGGAAGGUGGGGAUGACGUCAAAUCAUCAUGCCCCUUAUGUCUUGGGCUACACACGUGCUACAAUGGUUGGAACAAAGGGAAGCAAGACCGCGAGGUGGAGCAAAUCUCAUAAAUCCAAUCUCAGUUCGGAUCGUAGGCUGC
Molecule: ribosomal RNA, 530 nt
Filed under: uncultured bacterium
Lineage: Bacteria
Description: bacterial SSU rRNA
Rfam family: Bacterial small subunit ribosomal RNA
Source: RNAcentral